This 94-nucleotide small nucleolar RNA is filed under the name Oryza punctata. RNAcentral describes it as "snoRNA SNORD25". It matches the Rfam family "Small nucleolar RNA SNORD25". Rfam says of the family: U25 is a member of the C/D class of snoRNA which contain the C (UGAUGA) and D (CUGA) box motifs. U25 is found in gene clusters in plants, and within the U22 snoRNA host gene (UHG) in mammals. The record is from Rfam by way of RNAcentral. Lineage: Eukaryota; Viridiplantae; Streptophyta; Magnoliopsida; Poales; Poaceae.
GUUAUCAACGUGAGCCCUAACAGACCUGAAAUGAUUCUUGCGGAUAUGUUUGCUUGAUUCAGAGAACAUCUAAGGGACUCCAUUUGCCAUAGGC